AAAUUCCACGACACCCCACGAACCCGACACCACAAUUGAAUAACUCUAUAAAUUAUAGAAGAUAUGAUGCUAAAACGAGUAACAAGAAAAAGACCUUUCUCCAAAAUAUAAGUGUAUGUCAAAACGAACCCAUCAUUGACACCUAACGCCCCUGAGCCCAAGAUAAUAACCCACCAAGAAAACCUUAUCACACAAUGACGUUAACCUAACACAAGAAUAUUUCUGGAAAGAUUAAAAGAGGGAGAAGGAACUCGGCAAAUCUAAGCCCCGCCUGUUUACCAAAAACAUCGCCUCUUGAACAGAUAUAAGAGGUCCAGCCUGCCCGGUGAUACAAUUUAACGGCCGCGGUAUACUGACCGUGCGAAGGUAGCAUAAUCACUUGUUCUUUAAAUGAGGACUAGUAUGAACGGCACCACGAGGGCUUUACUGUCUCCUCCCUUCAAUCAGUGAAACUGACCUCCCUGUGAAGAGGCAGGGAUACUACUAUAAGACGAGAAGACCCCAUGGAGCUUUAAACCCAACAACAGCCCAAACACCACCACCCCUAAAAGUUUUAACGGUAUUGCUAGUUGGUUUUAGGUUGGGGUGACCGCGGAGUAUAAACUAUCCUCCACGACGAACGGGCCUACCCCCUUACCCAAGAGCUACACCUCUAAGGAUUAACACAUUAACGUAAAAUGAUCCAAAUAUUUGAUCAACGAACCAAGUUACCCUGGGGAUAACAGCGCAAUCCAUUUUUAGAGCCCCUAUCGACAAAUGGGUUUACGACCUCGAUGUUGGAUCAGGGUAUCCAGGAGGUGCAGC
RNAcentral lists this ribosomal RNA (804 nucleotides) under Euphlyctis kalasgramensis. RNAcentral's name for it is "partial large subunit ribosomal RNA". It matches the Rfam family "Bacterial large subunit ribosomal RNA", at positions 1512 to 2559 of the family's 2925-position model. Lineage: Eukaryota; Metazoa; Chordata; Amphibia; Anura; Dicroglossidae. The record is from RNAcentral.